RNAcentral lists this long non-coding RNA (215 nucleotides) under Vitis vinifera (wine grape). RNAcentral describes it as "long non-coding RNA (VVIN_LNC005403)". Lineage: Eukaryota; Viridiplantae; Streptophyta; Magnoliopsida; Vitales; Vitaceae. The record is from RNAcentral.
GAUCUAGUCUCAAUUAGCAAAGAACGAACUACCACAUUAGUUCGAAUGUCAACUAUAGAAGCUAGGGUAGCUAAGGCAUCAACAAACUGAUUAUGUGCUUUAGGAAGAUGAAUGUAAUUCAACUCCUCAAAAUUUUCAAUUAAUAGCUCUAGGUAGGCAUGAUAUGGCUUUAGCUUUGCAUCUUUGGUCUUCUAUUCACCUCGAACCUAUCUGAG